RNAcentral lists this ribosomal RNA (161 nucleotides) under uncultured bacterium. RNAcentral's name for it is "partial 16S rRNA". It matches the Rfam family "Bacterial small subunit ribosomal RNA", at positions 358 to 511 of the family's 1533-position model. The record is from RNAcentral.
GGAAUCUUCCACAAUGGACGAAAGUCUGAUGGAGCAACGCCGCGUGUGUGAUGAAGGCUUUCGGGUCGUAAAGCACUGUUGUAUGGGAAGAACAGCUAGAAUAGGAAAUGAUUUUAGUUUGACGGUACCAUACCAGAAAGGGACGGCUAAAUACGUGCCAG